RNAcentral lists this ribosomal RNA (237 nucleotides) under uncultured bacterium. RNAcentral describes it as "partial 16S ribosomal RNA". It matches the Rfam family "Bacterial small subunit ribosomal RNA", at positions 99 to 334 of the family's 1533-position model. The record is from RNAcentral.
CGAACGGGUGAGUAACGCGUGAGGAACCUGCCUCAAAGAGGGGGACAACAGUUGGAAACGACUGCUAAUACCGCAUAGGCCCACGGGUCGGCAUCGAUCUGAGGGAAAAGGAGUGAUCCGCUUUGAGAUGGCCUCGCGUCCGAUUAGCUAGUUGGUGAGGUAACGGCCCACCAAGGCGACGAUCGGUAGCCGGACUGAGAGGUUGAACGGCCACAUUGGGACUGAGACACGGCCCAG